Molecule: non-coding RNA, 850 nt
Organism: Nothobranchius furzeri (turquoise killifish)
Lineage: Eukaryota; Metazoa; Chordata; Actinopteri; Cyprinodontiformes; Nothobranchiidae
Source: RefSeq, a predicted model, not a curated record
UUCUAAUGGCUGGUGUUGAGGUGCUGAUGACCUAGAUUUGGAUCCUUUUGAAGAAAGUUUCAAAUCCAUGGAUCUAGCUACGGAUGCAGUCCAAAUUGAUGAGGACCAAGCAAACAACUUACUCAACAGUGUGCUGGGAUCCUAAAGGCAAUUUCCAUCCUACUUGUGUGGCUGAAUGACAUCUUCAACCAAUUUUGGUACAUUUGCCAGAAGGCACAACAUCAUGAUAUGUUUAAUGUAAGUAUUGUGACAUCUUUUGGACAACAAGACAACAAUGCACAUUGACAUAAUUACCUUUCUUUUCAUAAUAGUACCAGCUCUCGUGUUUCUGUUGGUGAGCGCUUCUGUCACAUGUAAAGUUUUCAAAUAAAACUUAUUUUUUCUGUUAGGCCAUGUGGGUGGGUGUGCUUCACCAUGUCACAGGGAAGCAUGAAUGGACCCGUGGCAAAUGUGACCAUGGACCACUUGAUGCAACGGCCAGUGAUUAAAGAGCUCAUGGUACCAUGAUCUCCACCACACGAGGCUCUUCAACGAAUCAUGUUCAACAGACGCUGGUUGAAGGAUGUCACCAAUCUGACCUUUAGGUAUAUUAAUAACAUUUUCAUAAGCAAAAAAGCUAAAGUGUCAAUAUCAAAGCUGACAAUUUACAUAUAGAAAUGACAAUUGUGGGUGAAAAGGCAAUCAAAAGUGUGAUUCCUAAUAAUCUAUAAAGUUGUAGCUUUUGUUUUUUUUACAGGUCAACUUCAGAACUGGAGAGUUUCCAGAAUUGCAUUCUCAUGUAAUCUAUGUAUGAUCUAAUGCUGCUGUUCUCUCUCCAUAAAGGCCCCAGCUACGUGAAGCAUCAAAAGAC